CCAGACUCCUACGGGAGGCAGCAGUGGGGAAUAUUGCACAAUGGGGGCAAGCCUGAUGCAGCCAUGCCGCGUGUAUGAAGAAGGCCUUCGGGUUGUAAAGCACUUUCAGUAAGGAGGAAGGUGUGUAAGUUAAUACCUUAAUCAUGUGACGUUACUUACAGAAGAAGCACCGGCUAACUCCGUGCCAGCAGCCGCGGUAAUACGGAGGGUGCGAGCGUUAAUCGGAAUUACUGGGCGUAAAGCGCAUGCAGGUGGUUUGUUAAGUCAGAUGUGAAAGCCCCGGGCUCAACCUAGGAAUUGCAUUUGAAACUGACAAACUAGAGUAUUGUAGAGGGGGGUAGAAUUUCAGGUGUAGCGGUGAAAUGCGUAGAGAUCUGAAGGAAUACCGGUGGCGAAGGCGGCCCCCUGGACAAAUACUGACACUCAGAUGCGAAAGCGUGGGGAGCAAACAGGAUUAGAUACCCUGGUAGUCCACGCCGUAAACGAUGUCUACUUGGAGGUUGUGACCUAGAGCCGUGGCUUUUGGAGCUAACGCGUUAAGUAGACCGCCUGGGGAGUACGGUCGCAAGAUUAAAACUCAAAUGAAUUGACGGGGGCCCGCACAAGCGGUGGAGCAUGUGGUUUAAUUCGAUGCAACGCGAAGAACCUUACCUACUCUUGACAUCCAGAGAA
This 672-nucleotide ribosomal RNA is filed under the name Vibrio mimicus. Its description in RNAcentral is "bacterial SSU rRNA". It matches the Rfam family "Bacterial small subunit ribosomal RNA", at positions 331 to 995 of the family's 1533-position model. Lineage: Bacteria; Pseudomonadati; Pseudomonadota; Gammaproteobacteria; Vibrionales; Vibrionaceae. The record is from RNAcentral.